GCCUGGCUGGCUCAGUGGGUAGAGCAUGUGACUCUUGAUCUCAGGGUUGUAGGUCCGAGCCCUACAGUGGGUA
RNAcentral lists this transfer RNA (73 nucleotides) under Felis catus (domestic cat). It matches the Rfam family "tRNA". Rfam says of the family: Transfer RNA (tRNA) molecules are approximately 80 nucleotides in length. The record is from Rfam by way of RNAcentral. Lineage: Eukaryota; Metazoa; Chordata; Mammalia; Carnivora; Felidae. RNAcentral also lists the same sequence under 1 other name.